GCUUCGAUAGGCCAACGGAAGAGUCAACGGACUUAAAAUCCGUGAGUUGCGGGUUCGAAUCCCGCUCGAAGUACCA
RNAcentral lists this transfer RNA (76 nucleotides) under Chloroflexota bacterium. Its description in RNAcentral is "Chloroflexi bacterium tRNA-Leu". It matches the Rfam family "tRNA". Rfam says of the family: Transfer RNA (tRNA) molecules are approximately 80 nucleotides in length. Their secondary structure includes four short double-helical elements and three loops (D, anti-codon, and T loops). Further hydrogen bonds mediate the characteristic L-shaped molecular structure. tRNAs have two regions of fundamental functional importance: the anti-codon, which is responsible for specific mRNA codon recognition, and the 3' end, to which the tRNAs corresponding amino acid is attached (by aminoacyl-tRNA synthetases). tRNAs cope with the degeneracy of the genetic code in two manners: having more than one tRNA (with a specific anti-codon) for a particular amino acid; and 'wobble' base-pairing, i.e. permitting non-standard base-pairing at the 3rd anti-codon position. Lineage: Bacteria; Bacillati; Chloroflexota. The record is from RNAcentral.